CUUAAAUUCAUUGAUUCAAUCACACAUGAUAUAUCGCCGUCUUCAAUGCUUAAUUUCGUCUCUAUAGACGGUGGUGGCUCCAUAUAAAUAUAUCGUGUCCUUCACAGAGGCCAUUGUAUCUGCUCCAAAACCAAAAUCGAUCAAUCAAGCAUAGAAAUUCGAUAAGAUGCGAGAUCGGAUGAUGCAAAGUAGCUUACACUUAGGGGCAGGUGAAGGAGAGACGUAGGGAUUGAACUUCGGCGGCAUGGUGGUCGGUGCAUCGCAGGAGAUGGGAGGCAGAGGAGGAGUGACGCCGUUGGGUUCAAGCCUGGGGUAACGAGCGUAGUCAGAGGAGUGAGGAGCUAUGGGGUCCGACGCGGCGGAAGUUGAGAUCCGGCUGCCAUCGUGAUUCUCUUGCCUACUCAUGCUUUGAUUCUUUUUUUUCUUCGCGAUUCUCUCUUCUCCUUCUUUCAAUACGCUCUCCCUAUAUUAAUUAAUCGUGGCUUGACCAAAAAAUUUUUAUUUUCUUUUGGUUAAGUAAUGAGAAACACGGUCCGAAAUUAGCAAACUACGAAUGAAUUAAAAGUGUCAGUCGGUGUUACGUUGGCAUUAUUAAUAAAUGUCGGACUAUAU
Molecule: long non-coding RNA, 612 nt
Organism: Raphanus sativus (radish)
Lineage: Eukaryota; Viridiplantae; Streptophyta; Magnoliopsida; Brassicales; Brassicaceae
Exons: 2
Source: RefSeq, a predicted model, not a curated record